GAUGAACGCUGACAGAAUGCUUAACACAUGCAAGUCUACUUGAACUUCGGUUUGGGUGGCGGACGGGUGAGUAACGCGUAAAGAACUUGCCUCACAGUUAGGGACAACAUUUGGAAACGAAUGCUAAUACCUGAUAUUAUGAUUUUAGGGCAUCCUAGGAUUAUGAAAGCUAUAUGUGCUGUGAGAGAGCUUUGCGUCCCAUUAGCUAGUUGGAGAGGUAACGGCUCACCAAGGCGAUGAUGGGUAGCCGGCCUGAGAGGGUGAACGGCCACAAGGGGACUGAGACACGGCCCUUACUCCUACGGGAGGCAGCAGUGGGGAAUAUUGGACAAUAGACCAAAAGUCUGAUCCAGCAAUUCUGUGUGCACGAUGACGUUUUUCGGAAUGUAAAGUGCUUUCAGUUGGGAAGAAAAAAAUGACGGUACCAACAGAAGAAGUGACGGCUAAAUACGUG
RNAcentral lists this ribosomal RNA (454 nucleotides) under uncultured bacterium. RNAcentral's name for it is "partial 16S ribosomal RNA". It matches the Rfam family "Bacterial small subunit ribosomal RNA", at positions 28 to 507 of the family's 1533-position model. The record is from RNAcentral.